Molecule: ribosomal RNA, 374 nt
Filed under: uncultured bacterium
Lineage: Bacteria
Description: bacterial SSU rRNA
Rfam family: Bacterial small subunit ribosomal RNA
Source: RNAcentral
AGUUGAACGCUGGCGGCAUGCCUUACACAUGCAAGUCGAACGGGUAACAGGUCUUCGGACGCUGACGAGUGGCGAACGGGUGAGUAAUACAUCGGAACGUGCCCAGUCGUGGGGGAUAACUACUCGAAAGAGUAGCUAAUACCGCAUACGAUCUGAGGAUGAAAGCGGGGGACCUUCGGGCCUCGCGCGAUUGGAGCGGCCGAUAUCAGAUUAGGUAGUUGGUGGGGUAAAGGCCUACCAAGCCGACGAUCUGUAGCUGGUCUGAGAGGACGACCAGCCACACUGGGACUGAGACACGGCCCAGACUCCUACGGGAGGCAGCAGUGGGGAAUUUUGGACAAUGGGGGCAACCCUGAUCCAGCCAUGCCGCGUGC